This 465-nucleotide ribosomal RNA is filed under the name uncultured bacterium. RNAcentral's name for it is "partial 16S ribosomal RNA". It matches the Rfam family "Bacterial small subunit ribosomal RNA", at positions 338 to 795 of the family's 1533-position model. The record is from RNAcentral.
CCUACGGGAGGCAGCAGUGGGGAAUAUUGCGCAAUGGGCGAAAGCCUGACGCAGCGACGCCGCGUGAGGGAUGAAGGUCUUCGGAUCGUAAACCUCUGUCAGCAGGGAAGAACGGUCACUGUGCUAAUCAGCAGUGAAUUGACGGUACCUUACCAAGAAGCCCCGGCUAACUACGUGCCAGCAGCCGCGGUAAUACGUAGGGGGCAAGCGUUAUCCGGAUUUACUGGGUGUAAAGGGGGCGCAGACGGCAAUGCAAGCCAGGAGUGAAAGCCCGGAGCCCAACCCCGGGACUGUGCUUGGAACUGCAUGGCUGGAGUACAGGAGGGGAAGGCGGAAUUCCUAGGGUAGCGGUGAAAUGCGUAGAUAUUAGGAGGAACACCAGUGGCGAAGGCGGCCUGCUGGCCUGUGACUGACGUUGAGGCCCGAAGGCGUGGGGAGCAAACAGGAUUAGAUACCCGUGUAGUC